UACAGAGGGGGCAAGCGUUGUUCGGAAUUACUGGGCGUAAAGGGCGCGUAGGCGGCCUUCUAAGUCGAACGUGAAAUCCCCGGGCUCAACCUGGGAACUGCGUCGGAUACUGGAUGGCUUGAAUCCGGGAGAGGGAUGCGGAAUUCCAGGUGUAGCGGUGAAAUGCGUAGAUAUCUGGAGGAACACCGGUGGCGAAGGCGGCAUCCUGGACCGGCAUUGACGCUGAGGAGCGAAAGCCAGGGGAGCAAACGGG
Molecule: ribosomal RNA, 253 nt
Filed under: uncultured bacterium
Lineage: Bacteria
Description: partial 16S ribosomal RNA
Rfam family: Bacterial small subunit ribosomal RNA
Source: RNAcentral